Molecule: ribosomal RNA, 265 nt
Filed under: uncultured prokaryote
Description: partial 16S ribosomal RNA
Rfam family: Bacterial small subunit ribosomal RNA
Source: RNAcentral
UACGGAGGAUCCGAGCGUUAUCCGGAUUUAUUGGGUUUAAAGGGUGCGCAGGCGGGAGAUUAAGUCGGCUGUGAAAUUUUGCAGCUCAACUGUAAAAGUGCCUUCGAAACUGGUUUCCUUGAGUGUAGAUGAAGUAGGCGGAAUUUGUGGUGUAGCGGUGAAAUGCAUAGAUAUCACGAGGAACUCCGAUUGCGCAGGCAGCUUACUAAACUACUACUGACGCUCAGGCACGAAGGCGUGGGGAUCAAACAGGAUUAGAUACCCU